AACCUUAUAAUAUAAUCAUUUUUACAAUUUUAUAAUAAUAAUUUAAUAAAAUGCGAAUAAUGCACAUCUCACUGACACAAUCCAUUCGGUCAAAUAAAAUGUAAUGCAAGGCAGUCAUUUACACAGUUCAAUGAGAGAGUAAAGACAGAGGGUUCAUAGUUAAAUUUUCAGGGGGUUCAUUCAACAAAAAGUUAGAAAAUUAGGUGCAACUAUAAAAUUUGAG
RNAcentral lists this long non-coding RNA (223 nucleotides) under Medicago truncatula (barrel medic). RNAcentral's name for it is "long non-coding RNA (MTRU_LNC002333)". Lineage: Eukaryota; Viridiplantae; Streptophyta; Magnoliopsida; Fabales; Fabaceae. The record is from RNAcentral.